This 253-nucleotide ribosomal RNA is filed under the name uncultured bacterium. RNAcentral's name for it is "partial 16S ribosomal RNA". It matches the Rfam family "Bacterial small subunit ribosomal RNA", at positions 524 to 776 of the family's 1533-position model. The record is from RNAcentral.
UACGUAGGGACCAAGCGUUGUUCGGAUUUACUGGGCGUAAAGGGCGCGUAGGCGGCAUGACAAGUCACUUGUGAAAUCUCUGGGCUUAACCCAGAACGGCCAAGUGAAACUGUCGCGCUAGAGUGCGGAAGGGGCAAUCGGAAUUCUUGGUGUAGCGGUGAAAUGCGUAGAUAUCAAGAGGAACACCUGAGGUGAAGACGGGUUGCUGGGCCGACACUGACGCUGAUGCGCGAAAGCCAGGGGAGCAAACGGG